This 484-nucleotide ribosomal RNA is filed under the name uncultured bacterium. RNAcentral's name for it is "partial 16S ribosomal RNA". It matches the Rfam family "Bacterial small subunit ribosomal RNA", at positions 29 to 507 of the family's 1533-position model. The record is from RNAcentral.
AUUGAACGCUGGCGGCAUGCUUUACACAUGCAAGUCGAACGGCAGCGCGGGCUUCGGCCUGGCGGCGGGUGGCGAACGGGUGAGUAAUACAUCGGAACGUGCCCAGUAGUGGGGGAUAGCUCGGCGAAAGCCGGAUUAAUACCGCAUACGACCUGAGGGUGAAAGCGGGGGAUCUUCGGACCUCGCGCUAUUGGAGCGGCCGAUGGCAGAUUAGCUAGUUGGUGGGGUAAAGGCCUACCAAGGCGACGAUCUGUAGCUGGUCUGAGAGGACGACCAGCCACACUGGGACUGAGACACGGCCCAGACUCCUACGGGAGGCAGCAGUGGGGAAUUUUGGACAAUGGGCGAAAGCCUGAUCCAGCAAUGCCGCGUGUGUGAUGAAGGCCUUCGGGUUGUAAAGCACUUUUGGCGGGAACGAAAAGGACUGUGCAAAUACCACGGUUCGAUGACGGUACCCGCAGAAUAAGCACCGGCUAACUACGUG